CAGUAACGGCGAGUGAAGCGGUAACAGCUCAAAUUUGAAAUCUGGCCUCACGGUCCGAGUUGUAAUUUGUAGAGGAUGCUUCGAGCAUGGUCUGGCCUAAGUUCCUUGGAACAGGACGUCAUAGAGGGUGAGAAUCCCGUAUGCGGCCAGGUGCCUACGCUCAUGUGAAGCUCCUUCGACGAGUCGAGUUGUUUGGGAAUGCAGCUCAAAAUGGGUGGUAAAUUUCAUCUAAAGCUAAAUAUUGGCCAGAGACCGAUAGCGCACAAGUAGAGUGAUCGAAAGAUGAAAAGCACUUUGGAAAGAGAGUUAAACAGUACGUGAAAUUGUUGAAAGGGAAGCGCUUGCAACCAGACUUGCGCGCGGCCGAUCAUCCGGUGUUCUCACCGGUGCACUCGGCCGUGCUCAGGCCAGCAUCGGUUUUGGCGGCUGGAUAAAGGCCCUAGGAAUGUAGCUCCUCUCGGGGAGUGUUAUAGCCUAGGGUGCAAUGCAGCCUGCUGGGACCGAGGACCGCGCUUCGGCUAGGAUGCUGGCGUAAUGGUUGUAAGCGGCCCGUCUUGAAACACGGACCAAGGAGUCUAACAUCUAUGCGAGUGUUUGGGUGUCAAACCCAUACGCGUAAUGAAAGUGAACGGAGGUGAGAACCCUUAAGGGUGCAUCAUCGACCGGUCCUGAAGUUUACGGAAGGAUCUGAGUAAGAGCAUAGCUGUUGGGACCCGAAAGAUGGUGAACUAUGCCUGAAUAGGGUGAAGCCAGAGGAAACUCUGGUGGAGGCUCGCAG
This 778-nucleotide ribosomal RNA is filed under the name Pseudogymnoascus sp. RNAcentral describes it as "partial large subunit ribosomal RNA". It matches the Rfam family "Eukaryotic large subunit ribosomal RNA", at positions 81 to 880 of the family's 3401-position model. Lineage: Eukaryota; Fungi; Ascomycota; Leotiomycetes; Thelebolales; Thelebolaceae. The record is from RNAcentral.